RNAcentral lists this ribosomal RNA (432 nucleotides) under Triticum aestivum (bread wheat). Its description in RNAcentral is "partial small subunit ribosomal RNA". Lineage: Eukaryota; Viridiplantae; Streptophyta; Magnoliopsida; Poales; Poaceae. The record is from RNAcentral.
AUGGAUACUAGUGUUGGAGAUUUAGUUUUGCAUUGUGAUGAUUCUUCCAUGGAUGAGCUAGAGCUGCAGUUAGUUGUUUUUGAUAUUGAGGAGUCACCUUUAGUUGAUAUUGAUCAUGUGCUGCUAGAGCCAGAUAUGGAGAACUUCACCUUCGAUGAUGUUAGCCGCAUUGAUUCCUCAACACUUGAGCCUGAGAUGGAGAGCUUUAUGGUUAAUUAUGAUGAGGUGGAUUCAGAUGUCAAGGAGCCAAGCUCUACUAUUUCACUUGUUGACACGAGUCCGGUUGAAAUUUCUACUACCACACCUCACUUGGUAUCUUCAAUUGAGGUAGUCCUGAAGCUUCUUCCUAACUAUCUCCGGUAUGAUCUCAGCUUUCUGGACAAGACAUGCCAUAUCAUGGUUUACGCUUGUACACCAUUCAUUGCGAGCUGA